Molecule: unclassified non-coding RNA, 820 nt
Filed under: Melitaea cinxia (Glanville fritillary)
Lineage: Eukaryota; Metazoa; Arthropoda; Insecta; Lepidoptera; Nymphalidae
Description: misc RNA ENSMCXG00005019084.1
Source: RNAcentral
GGCGUUUAAGGCGCGGUAAUCACCACACGGGCGCCAGGAUGUAUCUUUCUUGGGAGCCAUGUGCAUUGGUGAAGACCAAGGGCUCUUAGAUGGUCGUGCCGUACCUGCGGACAUCAUUUCAGCGAACUCUUUCUGUGCGGCCUUUAGUUUCUGGGGUGCGAGGCGACGAGGGCGGGCAGCGACAGGAGGGCCAUCGGUUGUUAUGAUGCGAUGCACAGUGUCGUGUUUCACCUCGCGCGGCACUCCAGGUGGACGAGUAAUAUCGGGGAAAUCCAGUAAGAUUUUUAAGUAAAUCGAGUCACUAUAGUUGUCUAUAACUGCUCUGACACUUGCUUGAUCAAUCGUAGCAACACUGCCACGGCUUGACAAUCCAGUCUUGGCAUCAACUAAACGCCUGUUGGUGCGUCAGGGAGCAGGUUGUAGUGCGCAAGGAAAUCAGACCCAAUUAUUGCAGUGCCAACUUCAGCGAUGACAAAAGACCACUUAAAGUCGCGGCGCAAUCCCAGAUUUAAUGAUAAAUUUAAAAGACCAUAUGUUUUUAUGGUGCUACCAUUGGCUGCCUUAAGUUCAUAAUCUGCAACAUUAAGUUUUCCUCGGAUAGCAGAUUUUGGGUAACAACAUAUAUCUGAGCCGGUAUCUACAAGGAAUCGACGAUCACGUCGGGGUCACCAGUUUUGGCGGAUGAAAUUGGAAUAGCGAUAUAUGAGCAACUAGUCUACGGAAGUAAAACUCCAGAAGCUUCGGAAGUAAAAUCUUUAUUUCUGUUAUUGACAGCCGUAUAGGCGGGCAACUGUGUUGCCGCUAUUUUUAAUGGGUGCGU